Molecule: ribosomal RNA, 326 nt
Filed under: Citrobacter freundii
Lineage: Bacteria; Pseudomonadati; Pseudomonadota; Gammaproteobacteria; Enterobacterales; Enterobacteriaceae
Description: partial 23S ribosomal RNA
Rfam family: Bacterial large subunit ribosomal RNA
Source: RNAcentral
CGAAUGCUGACAUAAGUAACGAUAAUGCGGGUGAAAAACCCGCACGCCGGAAGACCAAGGGUUCCUGUCCAACGUUAAUCGGGGCAGGGUGAGUCGACCCCUAAGGCGAGGCCGAAAGGCGUAGUCGAUGGGAAACAGGUUAAUAUUCCUGUACUUGGUGUUACUGCGAAGGGGGGACGGAGAAGGCUAUGUUAGCCGGGCGACGGUUGUCCCGGUUUAAGCAUGUAGGCGGAGGUUCCAGGUAAAUCCGGUACCUUUUUAACGCUGAGGUGUGAUGACGAGGCACUACGGUGCUGAAGUAACAAAUGCCCUGCUUCCAGGAAAAG